GUCUUAGUAGCUUAUACCAAAGCGCUGACCUUGUAAGUCAGAAAUGGACAAACACUGUCCCUAAAACA
RNAcentral lists this transfer RNA (68 nucleotides) under Gekko subpalmatus. Its description in RNAcentral is "tRNA-Thr". It matches the Rfam family "tRNA". From Rfam's summary of the family: Transfer RNA (tRNA) molecules are approximately 80 nucleotides in length. Their secondary structure includes four short double-helical elements and three loops (D, anti-codon, and T loops). Lineage: Eukaryota; Metazoa; Chordata; Lepidosauria; Squamata; Gekkonidae. The record is from RNAcentral.